This 1275-nucleotide long non-coding RNA is filed under the name Junco hyemalis (dark-eyed junco). RNAcentral's name for it is "lncRNA (ENSJHYG00000010086.1)". The record is from RNAcentral. Lineage: Eukaryota; Metazoa; Chordata; Aves; Passeriformes; Passerellidae.
AUGAGGAAAGAAGAGCCCUGCAGGUGGGAACACAGACAGACUCCCAUGGAGAGAAUGGCAGAAAGGGAAAGGGGUCACAGAAGGAAAAUGAGCAGCUAUUCCAGGGCAUACAAAGAAGACAAGAAGGAUGUCAGAGAUCUGAGAGACACAGCCCAGACUGGGGCACCCACCUGGCACAAAGGGCCUUCAGGGGAGCACCCUGGUGCAGGAGAGGCAAGGCAUCCCUGCAGGGAGCUCUGGGGACCACACAGAUGUGUGAUCACCCUGCAGACCAGCAGGUGCAAUCUGGCUGGCACGGCCACGGCCUCUGCAGCACUCCCCAGCUGGCACCAGGAGCUCACAGGAUGCAGGUGGUGGGCACAAGUUCUGCUGCUGGGCAGGGCUGCCAUCCUCCCUGCUGCCCCAGACAGGCCUGGGGGGGAAACCUGCUGUCCAUCCAGAGAUGUGUCCCCCAGCCAGUGUCAGUGGUGCAACGGAGGCUUGGUAAUGUGUAACAGUACUUGGGUCCACACCAGCCCAUCAUUCUUCAGGGAACAAAGCACCCUGCCAAAGGUCUCCUCUGGAGAACAGAGGCAAGGGCAGCCUCAGCAACCCCAGUAAAGAAAAUGUUGACUCCUUCUGAGCACACAAGGACCAUCUCUGACUCCAGGGGUACCUCAGCACAGAGCAGUGCAGGACGGGGAGUACCUUAGAGAAGUCCUGCAGGGUGUCUGCCCAGCUGUGACACUUCUCCCCACCCUCCAGGUAUGGAUGGGCACUGCUGCAGCAGCCAAGCUGCUGGCAGCAGCUGCCCAGCACCUUCACCACCUUCAAGAAGGGGAGCAGCAAGCUCCCCAGAGGAAAUUGUGUCCCAAGAGUGCAAUAAUUACCAACAUUAACCCCAAUCCCAUGUUACCUCUUGCCACGGGGCAGCUGGAGGUGGCUGGCAAAAGUUGGACAUCAGUGACAGAGCAGGUCAGGUCCUCUCCUGCCUCCUCCCUUUUCUGAACCCAUGUGAAAGCCCCAUGCAGGUACCCAAAGAGGGUUUGCGAUGAAUCACUGUGCAAGAGCUGUUAGACUUUCUGUGCUGGGGGUGGCAGACCUCCUGCUCCUCAUUUUGGGACAGACAUUUCUCUGCACCCUCUCCUACAGCCCCCUAAACUUGAUUCCUUUGCAAGGCUUAAUGUGUCCAGGUAUUUCUGUUCUUCUCUACUCAGGCCUUUUCUUUGGAAAAAAAUGGGUUAAAACAUAAAGACAUUUUAAAAUAAAAACUUAUAAUGCUCAGUACUUACCUCA